CGAAAGCCUGACGGAGCAAUACCGCGUGAGGGAAGAAGGCUUUUGGGUUGUAAACCUCUUUUGUCAGGGAAGAAGAAUUGACGGUACCUGAAGAAAAAGCAUCGGCUAACUCCGUGCCAGCAGCCGCGGUAAUACGGAGGAUGCAAGCGUUAUCCGGAAUCAUUGGGCGUAAAGGGUCCGCAGGUGGCGAAUAAAGUCUGCUGUUAAAGACCGGGGCUUAACUCCGGAAAGGCAGUGGAAACUGAUUAGCUAGAGUACGGUAGGGGUAGAGGGAAUUCCCAGUGUAGCGGUGAAAUGCGUAGAUAUUGGGAAGAACACCGGUGGCGAAAGCGCUCUACUAGGCCGAAACUGACACUGAGGGACGAAAGCUAGGGUAGCGAAAGGGAUUAGAUACCCCUGUAGUCUUAGCGGUAAACGAUGGAUACUAGGUGUAGCUUGUAUCGACCCGAGCUGUGCCGAAGCUAACGCGAUAAGUAUCCCGCCUGGGGAGUACGCACGCAAGCGUGAAACUCAAAGGAAUUGACGGGGGCCCGCACAAGCGGUGGAGUAUGUGGUUUAAUUCGAUGCAACGCGAAGAACCUUACCAGGGCUUGACAUGUCGCGAAUCUAGCGGAAACGUUAGAGUGCCUUAGGGAAUGCGAACACAGGUGGUGCAUGGCUGUCGUCAGCUCGUGUCGUGAGAUGUUGGGUUAAGUCCCGCAACGAGCGCAACCCUCGUCCUUAGCUGCCAAUAUUAAGUUAGGCACUCUAGGGAGACUGCCGGGGACAACUCGGAGGAAGGUGGGGAUGACGUCAAGUCAGCAUGCCCCUUACGUCCUGGGCGACACACGUACUACAAUGGUUGGGACAAAGGGCAGCAAGCUCGCGAGAGUAAGCGAAUCUCAUCAAACCCAGCCACAGUUCAGAUUGCAGGCUGCAACUCGCCUGCAUGAAGUAGGAAUCGCUAGUAAUCGCAGGUCAGCAUACUGCGGUGAAUUCGUUCCCGGGCCUUGUACACACCGCCCGUCACACCAUGGAAGCUGGCUACGCCCGAAGUCGUUACCCUAACCCGGUUUUGGGAGGGGGAUGCCGAAGGUAGAGCUAGUGACUGGGGUGAAGUCGUAACAAGGUAGCCGUACCGGAAGGUGUGGCUGGAUCACCUCCUUU
Molecule: ribosomal RNA, 1146 nt
Filed under: uncultured cyanobacterium
Lineage: Bacteria; Bacillati; Cyanobacteriota
Description: bacterial SSU rRNA
Rfam family: Bacterial small subunit ribosomal RNA
Source: RNAcentral